RNAcentral lists this unclassified non-coding RNA (310 nucleotides) under Hevea brasiliensis (rubber tree). The record is from RNAcentral. Lineage: Eukaryota; Viridiplantae; Streptophyta; Magnoliopsida; Malpighiales; Euphorbiaceae.
GUUUGAAAUGUGGGGAGAUGGACUCCAAACCAGAUCCUUCACAUUCAUUGAUGAAUGCGUAGAAGGUGUCCUGAGAUUGACAAAAUCAGACUUCUGGGAGCCAGUUAACAUAGGAAGUGACGAAAUGGUGAGCAUGAAUGAAAUGGCCGAAAUGGUACUCAGCUUCGAGGAUAAGAAGCUUCCCAUUGAGCAUAUUCCUGGCCCUGAGGGUGUUCGUGGUCGCAAUUCCGACAACACCCUGAUAAAGGAAAAACUUGGUUGGGCCCCCACAAUGAGACUUAAGGAUGGGCUGAGGAUAACAUACUUCUGG